GAGGGCGGGUGCCCCCCGGGGAGGGCGGGGUGCCGGGAGGAAAGGCCCAACCACAGGGCGCAGUGAGCGUCCCCGCAGCGCCCCACCGGGCCCUCCUUCCUCAUUCUGGAGAACCGGCGCACUCCAUCCUCCCGGGGCCUCUGACGCCGCCUCCAGGCGGGCCCCGGGCGCACCCCUUCUUCCCCUCCGCGGAGCCGGUGAGGGGAGGUCGAGAGGUCGUGGCAAGGCCAAUAAGGAUCUUUUCCAGAAACGGGCGGAAGCCAGGGGGCUCCCGUGGAGGGGCCGUCUCAGGUGCACGUCGCCCCGACUUCCCGUGAUCCCCAAUGGGCACAUGCAAAACUGAGGCACAGGGCCAGGAAGUGAGUUGCCCGGGCGCCGGGCGGAAGAACAAGACAGGGCCCGGAGUCUGCUGUCGCCCACAGGGCCCCAGGCUCUCAACGCUGACCAGGCGGCUUCCUUCUUCCUGCGGACGAGGACUGAGUGCCCACUGUGUGCCAGGGACAGUGCCGAGCACAGCAGGGCACAAAGUGACAACACUAAGCCUAACAUUCUAGAUGGAGACGCAGAUAAGGAAAUACCUGUUUAACAUUCAAGGCUGUUGGACGACGUACAUUCCGAGCGAAAAAGACAGUGGAGCGGGGGCUAGGGCACGCUGGGUGCUUGGGUUGGGGCUUUAAAUAGGGGUCAAGGAAGGUCACCAGGAGGGGGAGUCGGACAGGCAGCCUAGGCACAGGGGGACCUUGAGGGUGGAACGUGCCGUUCAGGGACUUUCCCGACAAGGCCGUGGGGCCACCUGCCCCUGCCCCCUGGGCCCCCCGGGACCCUAGAAAUAGGACGGUGACACAUGGCUGCUUUCUGGAUGGGCACUCACAGCCAAAGGGGACGUCUUGGGUUGUCUCCAAUCCAGCAGAUCUUUGCCCUGUUUGACGGUAGAAACCCCGCUUUGAGAGGUUCUAGAAGGCUCUAGAAAGUUCUGGAAAACCCCUCCCGCUGGAGAUACACGUAAUUCGGGACACCCCUCGGAUGGCACCAGCAAGGCUCAGAGAGGGUGAAGACUGAAGAUGUCACCAGCCCCAGGAAGUGCCCAACGGUCCCCAAUGCUCUCACUCCUACGGUGUCUCUACGUUUGGGGAGUAAUUUUUGAAAAACAAAAGAACGGAUGUGGGAUAUUCACCCAAAGGAAUGCUGCGGCCACAGCUGGCGGUGAGGAUUGACGACCCACAAGGACACGCAGCACUCUGUGUCCCACAGAUGUGACACUGAGUGAUAGAUAGAAAUGACUCACCACAGUUCAUCUUGCGCAGCUCUCCGCAGAUAAAGUUCACAAAUGGAGAAAAGGAAACACAAAUUUUAGGGUAGCUUAAUUCAGCUGUACAUUUGUAAAGAAAAGCAAGGAAGCUGAAUUUAAAUAAGUAAAUUAAAAAAAACUA
Molecule: long non-coding RNA, 1430 nt
Organism: Prionailurus viverrinus (fishing cat)
Lineage: Eukaryota; Metazoa; Chordata; Mammalia; Carnivora; Felidae
Exons: 3
Source: RefSeq, a predicted model, not a curated record